GACGAACGCUGGCGGCGUGCCUAAUACAUGCAAGUCGAGCGCAGGAAGCUGACGGAACUCUUCGGAGGGAAGGCAGUGGAAUGAGCGGCGGACGGGUGAGUAACACGUAAGGAACCUGCCUCAAGGAUUGGGAUAACUCCGAGAAAUCGGAGCUAAUACCGGAUAGUUCAACGGACCGCAUGGUCCGCUGAUGAAAGGCGCUCCGGCGUCACCUUGAGAUGGCCUUGCGGUGCAUUAGCUAGUUGGUGGGGUAACGGCCCACCAAGGCGACGAUGCAUAGCCGACCUGAGAGGGUGAUCGGCCAGACUGGGACUGAGACACGGCCCAGACUCCUACGGGAGGCAGCAGUAGGGAAUCUUCAACAAUGGACGAAAGUCUGAUGGAGCAACGCCGCGUGAGUGAUGAAGGUUUUCGGAUCGUAAAACUCUGUUGUAAGGGAAGAACACGUACGAGAGGAAAUGCUCGUACCUUGACGGUACCUUACGAGAAAGCCACGGCUAACUACGUGCCAGCAGCCGCAGUAA
RNAcentral lists this ribosomal RNA (524 nucleotides) under uncultured bacterium. RNAcentral describes it as "partial 16S ribosomal RNA". It matches the Rfam family "Bacterial small subunit ribosomal RNA", at positions 28 to 523 of the family's 1533-position model. The record is from RNAcentral.